Molecule: long non-coding RNA, 210 nt
Organism: Ipomoea nil (Japanese morning glory)
Lineage: Eukaryota; Viridiplantae; Streptophyta; Magnoliopsida; Solanales; Convolvulaceae
Exons: 4
Source: RefSeq, a predicted model, not a curated record
AUGGUGUUUCAGUGGAAGGAAUUUAAGGGGGUGUAUUCAAUCCAGACUUUUAAAGAGUUUUAAUGACUUUUAACGACUUUCAAAGUUUGGUGGUAUUCAAUUUAGACUUUUAAAGACUCUUUAAAAGUCUACCUGUAUUCGAUUCAGACUUUUCAGAAGUCUUUAAAAGUAUACAGGUAUUCGUUUCAGACUUUUAUAGAGUCUUUAAAA